AUGGACGGCUGCACCGACGCGUACUCGGCGUCCACCAGCAGCGGGAUGCCGUGCUCCGCGCACCGCGCGCCCACGGCCAGCAGCCGGUCGUGCGCCAGCUGCAGCUCGCGCUCCUCCUCCGCCGUCAGCGCCGCCGGCUCCGACGGCGUCAGGUACAGCGGGCUCGAGUCGGACAGGAUCGGGAAGGCGUGCUGCUUCCACGGCAGGUGCACCGACGGGUUCUUGUGCUGCCACCGCAGCAGGUCGCUCGUCUUCUCCAGCAGCGCGAUCGGGCACAGCGCCGUGAUCUUGAUACACACGCUCGCCUAUCCCGGGGGCAGCUUGGCGGCGACGUCGACGGCGGCGAGGAAGCCGGCGACGUUGCGGUCGCAGGCGGCGCCGUCCUCGGCGUCCUCGAUGCCGUAG
Molecule: ribosomal RNA, 405 nt
Filed under: Triticum aestivum (bread wheat)
Lineage: Eukaryota; Viridiplantae; Streptophyta; Magnoliopsida; Poales; Poaceae
Description: partial small subunit ribosomal RNA
Source: RNAcentral